Molecule: long non-coding RNA, 1830 nt
Organism: Daphnia magna
Lineage: Eukaryota; Metazoa; Arthropoda; Branchiopoda; Diplostraca; Daphniidae
Exons: 6
Source: RefSeq, a predicted model, not a curated record
CUUUCUGCAAUUUCGAGUUCAGUUGUCAAUCAGCAUGAAUAUGCAAUUUUGGUUGAUAGAUGGCAUUCUACAAUUUCAGUUUAGUCGUCAAUGAGCAAGAACUUGGGAGUUUUGGUUGAUAGAUGGCAUCCGCGACUCGCUCUUUUUCUCCUUCAUCAUUCUAGGUAGGAAUAUCCAUCCUUUCUUCCGUGACGGUUCAAUUGCGUUUCCGCCAUCUUGGUCAGGAACAGUGCCAUCAGCCCAUCACAGCGCAAUCACGUGAUAUUCGGUCGGUACUUUUCAUCAAAUCUUGCGAGUUCGUAUAUUUCUCAAUCAUGGAACCCAUUUUGCGUGUGUACUAAUGACUCGGUCUCCGUUGGAAUUAUGAACGCAUGAGGUCACAGAAGAGAUCCAACAUUUAUAAUAAUAUAAAAACUUCGAACUGAUUAGUCCUCAGCUUCCAACAAACACUGGAAUAAGCAGUACAACUGUUUGAUAUUCAGCCACAUGAUGGGAUGAAGUUUUGUAGAAGUGAUCAUCUAUUUGAAUGAAAGGCCAAUAUAAUUCAAAGGAAAAGCUGAAACUUUGAAAAAAAAAAAUAAUAAUAAUGCACGCCGUAUCAAUUUCAAGGAAAAUUGCACCAUGAUAGUAAGCUGCAGUCAUUGCUACCGUCUCAAGUACGGCAAUUGCAAUUCCACUGGUUCAUGUUUUCUCUCUUGGCAUGAAAGUCGGCAGCUGCUGAAAGCUUAUUUUGUCUGAGCUACAGUUCAAAAUGUGUCAAUCUCAAUAUCUAUUGAUCUGAUAAUUUGCCGUGAGUCCGUUUCAUCCUUCCUUAUACCAAGUUGGAUUGUCCGUUAAUAAUUAAAUGCAUCCCUCCCCCUGUAUGGAUAAUUGCACCUUAAAGAAAAUAUGUAGAGAAUCGUCAAUACAAAAUUCCAUCACUUGUAACGAAACUUCAUCUCGCUAACUGUAAACCUGUUACUUCUGGAUCAUUUCCGGAAAAUGUGCAUAAAGGGUAUUUUUAAAAGGCAGUCUAACUAAAUAAUCAAGUCGAGCAUUCACUGAGAAUGGAUCUAAAUAUUCCAGAAUACCUAUUAAUUAUACAGGUUUUAACAAACCUUUGUUGUAUCAGAUUGAAAUCUAAAAGAUUGAAUGCUACUGUCGUCUGCAAUGUCUGCCAUUUCCUAUGUAAAUUGUAAUGUAAACAUGUAAACAUGCAAAAGCUUUUGCUGUCUUGAUUUUGAAAGUUUUUCCAUUCUUUUGUGCAUCUAUAGCAACAAAUAAGUAACAAAUGAUCAUUAUACUUAUCUAUGUGUUACUAUUUUGCUUUAUUGUUGCCUGUUAUGUUAACAAGCAAUGAUCAAUUGAAUAUAUAUAGCAAGCAAUUCAAUACUUCAAUUCUCAGAUUGUGCUUUGGAAAAUGCAAUCUUUUGAUUUGUCUAGGGUUAAAUGUCUCCCAGUUCUUCUUCAAAGCAUAGCAGAAAUAUUAUUGAUUCAAAAGGAUCAGCUCAUUUGUUUGAAGCAUGGGCCCACUUGUUAAGCUACUACUAUUUAAGAUAUUUCCUUGUUUGAACUCCUUGAGCCUUCAUUCAACAAGCAAAACUUUAUGACACAGCUGUUUGUGACUAGCUCUUUUUGAAAGAAGAUUGAAGAUAAGGAACAUGUUAUUGCCGUUUAGCAAAAGUUUCUAUUUUUAGAAUGAACAGCUAUUUUACAGAAGUAGCACCCCGUCUUGUGUCAGUUUCAUCGUUAUGGUUCCAGAAAUACCAGGAAAAGACCCAAGCUAGUUAUCUUUUUUAAAAAUGUGCAAUUUUUUAAACCACAGUAAACCAAAAACUUAGAAAUUUUUUA